Long non-coding RNA from Lagenorhynchus albirostris (white-beaked dolphin), 214 nucleotides. RefSeq lists it as uncharacterized. Lineage: Eukaryota; Metazoa; Chordata; Mammalia; Artiodactyla; Delphinidae. The record is from RefSeq and is a predicted model, not a curated record. The transcript has 3 exons.
UCAGACUUAGACUAGAAAUACAUCACCAGCAUUCCUGAGUCUCCAGCCUGCCAACUGAGAUCUUGGGACUUCUUAGCCUCCAUAAUCACGGCGGGGAGGUGAAGACAAGCAAGGAUGAGGGAAGUGUCAAGCCAGGCCAGCAUUUGUUCGGCAUCAACUGUAGGCCCCACAGGGAGUGCAGUGGUGAAUUAAACACCCUUGGGGCUUCCCCCGU